This is a long non-coding RNA of Nylanderia fulva, 1160 nucleotides long. RefSeq lists it as uncharacterized. NCBI's taxonomy places the organism in Eukaryota, Metazoa, Arthropoda, Insecta, Hymenoptera, Formicidae. The record is from RefSeq and is a predicted model, not a curated record.
CUCGCGCCAAGUGUGCAGUGCGAAGGAUGCAUCGGAGGUUGGAGCACGAGUCUUCGAUGAAGUUAAGAAUGAAGCUGAGUGAUAAUCAGCGUCUCACGCGAGAUGUGCAAGAGAUGGAAACGAUGAGCGAAAUGUGCAGCGUAAUGGCAGAUGUAUGAAGAUAAGCGAGUUUAAUUGAAGGUUAGGUUGAAGCUGACGUAAAAUUUGGGAUUGCUGUUAAAAGUAUUGCGCGUACAAGUGCGGGAGUGCCGUUAAAAUUAAAAGUAUCGCGCGUGUUAAUCAAUAAACUGAGUUUGACGACCCUGACAACCUGAGAGGAGGAGAAAGCUUGAGAGAGGCAUCGGGCAUCGACGGAGCAACACUUUAAGCUGACGUAAAAUUUGGGAUUGCUGUUAAAAGUAUUGCGCGUACAAGUGCGGGAGUGCCGUUAAAAUUAAAAGUAUCGCGCGUGUUAAUCAAUAAACUGAUUUUGACGAUCCUGACAACCUGAGAGGAGGAGGAGAAGGCUUGAGAGAGGCAUCGGGCAUCGACGGAGCAACACUUUAAGAUGACGUAAAAUUCGGGAUUGCUGUUAAAAGUAUUGCGCGUACAAGUGCAGGAGUGCUGUUAAAAUUAAAAGUAUCGCGCGUGUUAAUCGAUAAACUGAUUUUGACGAUCCUUACAACCUGUAAGGAGGAGGAGAAGGCUUGAAAUAGGCAUCGGGCAUCGACGGAGCAACACUUUAAGCUCCUUCAUAUGAAAUUACAGUGUGCCAAAGAGACAAAUAGAUCAACCAUCCAUUCAAUAUAAACGGUAACGCAUGCACAUGUUUCAACAUGAUAUAAAGCAGUAUAUACCUCCUCCGAUACACUCCUCGAGAAUUAAGUGUGAACAUUAUACCUGCUAUUUAAAAAAAAAUCUAUACAAAAAAAAAAUCGCUAAAAGUCAUCGACGAUCUAAUUCGUUGGACGAGUCCCUCCUCGCCUCAUUGAUAUAUUCAGUCUUAAUCAGUUUAUCAAACUAUCAUAUACGUCAUUCAUGUACAUUAUUCCAUCGCACCACAGUUUCGCGCUAAUAGGUUUGUUUAAUUUAAUUGAUUUAAUUAAAAUACUAGUCGCGCACGCGCGCUAACGAGGCAAGAGGAGAAAUUGAAAAAUCGAAUUGAAAAAAAAAAAAAAAAA